Pan troglodytes (chimpanzee) is the source of this 1183-nucleotide long non-coding RNA. RefSeq lists it as uncharacterized. The record is from RefSeq and is a predicted model, not a curated record. The transcript is spliced from 3 exons. NCBI's taxonomy places the organism in Eukaryota, Metazoa, Chordata, Mammalia, Primates, Hominidae.
CUUAAAACUUCAUUUCUCAUUCUCUUGGCAUUUUCUUUCUAGCUCCGUUCUCCUGGAAACCUGAUAAAGGUGGAACGUUGGCUGUGUUACCAAGCAACAAUGCUCGUGGUAAAAAUGAUCCACUUCAUCUGGACGGCGAGGGCCGUGAAUGAAUCAUAAGUACCUGGUGGGAAGCUGUGGCUCUGGAGUUCUGAAUCUUGACUCUUGGAGCUCGGCACGCCCCUUGAGGAGACAAGGAAGCUAUUCCCAUGAGACUCUUACUAGAAAUAUCAGUUUCUCAUUGGAAUAAGGCUUUAAUUUGCUGUUUAUGUGACAUUUCAGUUUACCUGGGUAUCCUGUAUUUUAUCUGGCAACCCUACUUGGGGUAAAGGAGCUAGAGAGACACCUGCCAUCACGCAGCUGGCGUGCUGUUUCAUGCCUUUGCAUCCUUAUUCUAAAUUAAGUUAGGCCAGGCACGGUGGCUCACGCCUAUAAUCCCAGCAUUUUGGGUGGCCGAGGCGGGUAGAUCACCUGAGAUCAGGAGUUCAAGAUCAGCCUGGCCAACAUGAUGAAACCCUGUCUCUACUGAAAAUACAAAAAAUCAUCCAGGCGUGGUGGCGGACUCCUGUAAUCCCAGAUUUUCGGGAGGCUGAGGCAAGAGAAUCUCUCAAAUACGGGAGGUGAAGGUUGCAGUGAGCCGAGAUUCACCAUUGCACUCCAGCCUGGGCAACAAGAACAAAACUCCAUCUCAAAAUAAAUAGUUAGUGCCAAGCAUGUCAUGCUGUAGUCAUGCAAGUCUAAGUGUCUAACAGACCCUGAGAAGAACUCCAAAGUGGGCAUCGUAACCUAGCAACAGUGACCAUCCUAGGAAGAAUAGCACCCCAGGAACCCAGAUUAUGUUCUGAGCAGAAAAGCAGCAAGCCAAGCAUGCUGGGUUCCCAGAAGACCAACACUGUUUUGCAUACCAGUGAAACUAGUGACAUCAGCUGGUCUAAAGGACCCCACAAGCAGUUGACUCAAAGAACAAAGUUUCCAAGUUCUGAUUUUCAUACCCCUUCCUCAAUCAAUCAACAACCACAAUUUUCUAGCCCCUUGCCCUUCAUAAUUCUCUUAAAAACCCCAGCCCAGAACCCCUCAGAGAUGGAUUCGAGGGUCUCCUUCCAUCUCCUUGCUCAGCCACCCUACAAUCAUUAAAGGCUUUCUC